GAAAAUUUCAUAGACAUUUUCUGCUAAUUAACACAAACAUCACCUAGCGUUUCCAACCAAGAAAUACCCAAAAUGAUGUCGACACCUCCCAACGGAAAUACAUAGCAGUCAGUGGAGACAGAAAAAUCACUUAGAAUAAUAGAGAGAGCCUUACAAAGCCCAGAAGAAGUUUCACAACGCCCAUCCCCCAAUCGCACUACAAAAGGAGAAGUCACUUGAG
RNAcentral lists this unclassified non-coding RNA (220 nucleotides) under Hevea brasiliensis (rubber tree). The record is from RNAcentral. Lineage: Eukaryota; Viridiplantae; Streptophyta; Magnoliopsida; Malpighiales; Euphorbiaceae.